UGCCAGAAACUAUAAAAAUAGAAGUAUACAGUAUACCUUUCACCAGCAAUUCCACCUUCAGAAGCAAUAAAUUAUUCAGGCAAACAUGUGAAUAUGUAUGAACAAAACCUUUUCCUGAAGCUUUGUUUAGUGGAAAAUAUAAUGAAUUUAGAUGUCAUUUAAAGCUCUGGCUGAAAAUCCAAUUGGAUAUGUCUGAUUAUCAGUUUGGAAGAGACUAUAAAGAAUUUAAAAUGAAAUAGCUGAUAAUGGUUACCAGAGGCUGGGAAGGACAGGGGCAUUGGGUAUGAUAAAGGGAUGGUUAAUGGGUACCAAAAUUCAGUUAGAUAGAAGAAAUAAGGUUUAGUGUUCAGUAACACAAUAGGGCCAACUAUGGUUAAUAAUAAUUAAUUGUGUAUAUCAAAAUAUCUACAAUAGUGGAAUUAGAAAGUUCCUAAUAUAAAUAAAUGAUAAAUACUUGAAGUGAUGAAUAUCCUAAUUACCUUGAUUUGAUCUUCAUAUGCUUAUAUCAAAAUUUCACAUGCACCCCAGAUAUAUGUACAACCAUUAUGUAUCCAUAAUAAUUAAAAAUAAAAAAAAGAAAUGGCUAAUGACAAAAUUUUAGAAAAUUUAAGAUGAAAUUUAAGAU
This 625-nucleotide long non-coding RNA is filed under the name Pan troglodytes (chimpanzee). Its description in RNAcentral is "long non-coding RNA NONPTRT015174". The record is from RNAcentral. Lineage: Eukaryota; Metazoa; Chordata; Mammalia; Primates; Hominidae.